GCGGGUGUGGUGUAGCCUGGUAACACGCGAGCUUGCCAAGCUCGUGCCUCGGGUCCAAAUCCCGGCACCCGCAC
RNAcentral lists this transfer RNA (74 nucleotides) under Thermoplasmatales archaeon. Its description in RNAcentral is "tRNA-Gly". It matches the Rfam family "tRNA". From Rfam's summary of the family: Transfer RNA (tRNA) molecules are approximately 80 nucleotides in length. Their secondary structure includes four short double-helical elements and three loops (D, anti-codon, and T loops). The record is from RNAcentral. Lineage: Archaea; Methanobacteriati; Thermoplasmatota; Thermoplasmata; Thermoplasmatales.